AUUAGAGGUGGAUUUUGGAAGAGAUUGGAAAAAACCCAGACUCAUAAUAUAAAAGGAUCUUUUUAAAAACCACCACUCAGAUAUAAAUUACAUCUGCUGGAUCAGCAUCCUGUUGCUAUGUUGCUGAUAAACAGAAGCUGACUUCAUCACACAUGGUGGCGUCUCUUCAGACGCUAGCUCUGUACCUCCAAAGCAGUGCAACCAUCAUGCUCACGUACUUUCUCCUCUCCUGUGUGAGGCGGAAGAAGGACGUUACUGUUGUGAGCUCCCAACCUAGACGUCCCAUUGCUUCUGGGAGGCCAGAGUCAAGAGAAGUAUAAAAGGAACAGAGAAAUAAAAAUGAC
Molecule: long non-coding RNA, 344 nt
Organism: Mustela erminea (ermine)
Lineage: Eukaryota; Metazoa; Chordata; Mammalia; Carnivora; Mustelidae
Exons: 3
Source: RefSeq, a predicted model, not a curated record